GCGUGAAUGGUUUAGUGGUAAAAUUCUCCGUUGCCAAUCGAGCAAGUUCGGGGAGCCCUGGGUUCGAUUCCCAGUUCACGCA
Stachybotrys elegans is the source of this 82-nucleotide non-coding RNA. The record is from the annotation of a GenBank genome assembly. NCBI's taxonomy places the organism in Eukaryota, Fungi, Ascomycota, Sordariomycetes, Hypocreales, Stachybotryaceae.